UGCCUUCAAGGUUGCUUUUAAUUGCUUGUUUCAAAGAUGCCAGCUAGCAAAGUACUUACUUUUCAGAUUUUUCUUCUUCCUAAUUAGACUGAGAGUGGCUGUCACACAGAGUGCUCCCUUCAGUCCUUCCGUCAUAAAUGAAUGACAUGAACAUUAUUAAAGAUGAUCAUCACCUGCCUGGAACACGGUCCCCAAUAACAAAAAAUUACUAACAAUUAGCCCAGGACUGUACAGCUGGUUUUACACAAAAGGCCUCCAGCAAGAUCUGUACGUGGAAUGCCUGUGUUUGAACUCGUGGUCACCUGCUCCCUCCACACAGCCUGCACUUCUGAGGUGCCCAGGGUGACUCUGCUUCUGCAGCGGUGGCCUGCCAGAGGCACCCUCCAUCUUCACCAGCCUCCUUGUCACGGGUGCUGGGCAAGGAGGUGGCACUACAGUCUCCAGAAGCUGAGGACGGCUGAGCCUGUCCUGCAGGGUUGUGUCCUCAUCAGGAAGUGACCGUCAUGACUGGGAUCCAGGACUCACUCAGACAUAAAGCAGAAAUGAGCGGCCAGGAAAGGACCUGGCACAUAGGAACUGUCCCCUGAGGUCGCGGAAGUUCAGAGCCAAAGAAGACACUGAGAUUCUGUAGCAUCCCCAAGGGUGGUCAGAGUCCAGUGCUGCCCAUGACCCUCCCAUGGCCACAGCGCAAUCGCGUCACGGGAGCAACCCAGGACGUGGACCCUGCCUGCUCCACGUGCCCAUGUCUCCCCUGCUUCUCACCUUUGUGAAACCAGAGUGUUUCCCAAGCUGACUUCUGCCAGGUAGAUUCAAAUACCCAGUGGUUUCAAAGUGAGAUCAUUCCUUUUUACAACACAG
This 858-nucleotide long non-coding RNA is filed under the name Marmota monax (woodchuck). The record is from RNAcentral. Lineage: Eukaryota; Metazoa; Chordata; Mammalia; Rodentia; Sciuridae.